AGAAUUGCCAUUUGCCACCACACACGUUGUUAGUUUUACAUUUUCUGGCAAAUUGCCGGUCCAUAGAUUUGCUAAUCGGGAUCUAAAUCUGAAAUUAAAUUCUAUAAUCCCGGUUAUUUACAUAUAUCUAUAUAUUACAAAAAUUGUGCAGUGUGUCGGUGCAGACUCACAUACUUGCAAGCGCAGCAAGGAUGAAGGUGAUAGAGAAGAUCCAGGAGUCUUUGGUGGAUGAGAAGAAGGUGGUCUUCUCCUUCGAGUUCUUCCCCCCAAAGACCGAGGAUGGCGUCGAGAAUCUCUUGGAGAGGAUGGAUCGGAUGGUCGCCCACGGCCCCGCCUUCUGCGACAUUACCUGGGGUGCCGGUGGCUCCACCGCCGAUCUCACUCUCGACAUUGCCAACAAGAUGCAGAACCUCAUCUGCGUCGAGAGCAUGAUGCACCUCACCUGCACCAACAUGCCCGUCGACAAGAUCGACCACGCCCUCCAAACCAUCAAGUCCAACGGCCUCCAGAACGUUCUUGCUCUCCGCGGCGACCCGCCCCAUGGCCAGGACAAGUUUGUUCAGAUCCAAGGAGGCUUUGCCUGCGCCCUCGACCUGGUCACCCAUAUCAGAGCCAAAUAUGGCGACUACUUCGGCGUCACUGUUGCUGGUUAUCCAGAGGCUCACCCGGACGCCAUUGCCGCCGAUGGCCUCGCCUCUCCAGAAGCAUAUCAGAGUGAUCUCGCUUAUUUGAAGAGAAAGGUUGAUGCUGGCGCCGAUUUCAUCGUCACUCAGUUGUUCUACGACACUGAUAUUUUCCUCAAAUUCGUGAAUGACUGUCGCCAAAUUGGAAUUACUUGCCCCAUUGUUCCUGGAAUUAUGCCCAUCAAUAACUACAAGGGUUUCAUACGCAUGACUGGCUUCUGCAAAACCAAGAUACCAGCUGAGGUUACCGCUGCCUUGGAGCCUAUCAAGGACAACGAAGAAGCUGUGAGAUUGUACGGAAUUCACCUUGGAACCGAGAUGUGCAAGAAGAUUUUGGCUUCCGGGAUUAGGACUUUGCAUCUUUAUACUCUCAACAUGGAGAAAUCUGCGUUGGCUAUAUUGCAGAAUCUUGGUCUGAUUGAAGAGUCCAAAAUAUCAAGGCCCUUACCUUGGAGGCGCCCUGCAAAUGUUUUCCGUGUUAAAGAAGAUGUUCGUCCAAUUUUCUGGGCUAAUCGUCCCAAGAGCUACAUAUCAAGAACCAUAGGCUGGGAACUAUACCCACAUGGGCGGUGGGGUGAUUCCGGUAACCCUUCAUAUGGAGCACUGACUGAUUAUCAGUUCAUGCGGCCGCGUGCACGUGACAAGAAACUUGUUGAGGAAUGGGUUGUCCCAUUGAAGAGCGUUGAAGAUAUCUGCGAGAAAUUUAAGAAAUUCUGCCUUGGAAAAUUGAAAGCAGCCCUUGGUCUGAACUAGAUGGGCUUCAGCCAGAGACGGGGAUCAUAAAUGAAUCGCUAGGAAAAAUUAACACUAAGGGUUUCCUUACCAUCAACAGCCAACCAGCGGUAAAUGGGGAAAGAUCUGACUCGCUGUCUGUUGGGUGGGGUGGUCCUGGAGGAUAUGUUUAUCAGAAAGCCUAUCUAGAGUUUUUCUGUUCGAAGGAAAAGUUGGAUGCUCUUGUUGAAAAAUGCAAGGCUCUUCCAUCUCUAACUUACAUGGCCGUGAACAAAGAUGGGAGCUGGGUAUCUAAUACUGGCCAGACUGCUGUGAAUGCGGUAACAUGGGGUGUCUUUCGAGCAAGGGAGAUUAUCCAACCAACUGUCGUAGAUCCUGCCAGUUUUAUAGUUUGGAAGGAUGAGGCAUUUGAAAUCUGGUCAAGAGGAUGGGCCCGCUUAUACCCCGAGGGUGACUCAUCUAGGAAAUUGCUUGAAGAGGUGCAGAGCAGCUACUAUUUGGUCAGUUUGGUAGAUAAUGACUACAUCCACGGUGAUGUUUUUGCUGUUUUUGCCGAUGUUUGAAUGAGCUGUUUUGUCAACUCUUCCGUUUCUUAAAUCCCUUAAAAGUGGUGCUUUCAUUGCAAGUCCGAUUAUAAAUUUGAUGUCAUUAAGUUGUGUAAUAAUAACUCGUUGGGAUUUUUGAAUAUCCCCUGUUUCAAUUUCAUGGUGCAAAUUGCGCGUAUAUCAUACGAUCUGGUUCUUUGUUGGUUCGCUUCUCGUAUGUAGUUUGUGGCAAUGUAAUCCACAUUAUAUGAUUUGUACUUGAUGUUCUCUCUUUAAUCUUUAUAAAUUUAUAUUGUCGCGUAUAA
This is a non-coding RNA of Malus domestica (apple), 2265 nucleotides long. The record is from RefSeq and is a predicted model, not a curated record. Lineage: Eukaryota; Viridiplantae; Streptophyta; Magnoliopsida; Rosales; Rosaceae.